Molecule: ribosomal RNA, 253 nt
Filed under: uncultured bacterium
Lineage: Bacteria
Description: partial 16S ribosomal RNA
Rfam family: Bacterial small subunit ribosomal RNA
Source: RNAcentral
AACGUAGGUGGCGAGCGUUAUCCGGAUUUACUGGGCGUAAAGGGUGUGCAGGCGGCCCCUCAAGUGGUGUAUGAAAGGGCUCGGCUCAACCGGGCUAGGUCAUGCCAGACUGAGGGGCUAGAGAGCGAGAGCGGGACGUGGAAUUCCGGGUGUAGUGGUGAAAUGCGUAGAUAUCUGGAGGAACACCGGUGGCGAAGGCGGCAUCCUGGACCGGCACUGACGCUGAGGCGCGAAAGCUAGGGGAGCAAACGGG